GAUGAACGCUGGCGGCGUGCCUAAUACAUGCAAGUCGAGCGAACGGACGAGAAGCUUGCUUCUCUGAUGUUAGCAGCGGACGGGUGAGUAACACGUGGAUAACCUACCUAUAAGACUGGGAUAACUUCGGGAAACCGGAGCUAAUACCGGAUAAUAUUUUGAACCGCAUGGUUCAAAAGUGAAAGACGGUCUUGCUGUCACUUAUAGAUGGAUCCGCGCUGCAUUAGCUAGUUGGUAAGGUAACGGCUUACCAAGGCAACGAUGCAUAGCCGACCUGAGAGGGUGAUCGGCCACACUGGAACUGAGACACGGUCCAGACUCCUACGGGAGGCAGCAGUAGGGAAUCUUCCGCAAUGGGCGAAAGCCUGACGGAGCAACGCCGCGUGAGUGAUGAAGGUCUUCGGAUCGUAAAACUCUGUUAUUAGGGAAGAACAUAUGUGUAAGUAACUGUGCACAUCUUGACGGUACCUAAUCAGAAAGCCACGGCUAACUACG
Molecule: ribosomal RNA, 495 nt
Filed under: uncultured bacterium
Lineage: Bacteria
Description: partial 16S ribosomal RNA
Rfam family: Bacterial small subunit ribosomal RNA
Source: RNAcentral